Molecule: ribosomal RNA, 362 nt
Filed under: uncultured bacterium
Lineage: Bacteria
Description: bacterial SSU rRNA
Rfam family: Bacterial small subunit ribosomal RNA
Source: RNAcentral
AUUUAUCGGAGAAGGAUCGGCCCGCGUUGGAUUAGGUAGUUGGUGGGGUAAUGGCCUACCAAGCCGACGAUCCAUAGCUGGUUUGAGAGGAUGAUCAGCCACACUGGGACUGAGACACGGCCCAGACUCCUACGGGAGGCAGCAGUGGGGAAUCUUAGACAAUGGGCGCAAGCCUGAUCUAGCCAUGCCGCGUGAGCGAUGAAGGCCUUAGGGUUGUAAAGCUCUUUCAGGGGGGAAGAUAAUGACUGUACCCCCAGAAGAAGCCCCGGCUAACUCCGUGCCAGCAGCCGCGGUAAUACGGAGGGGGCUAGCGUUGUUCGGAAUUACUGGGCGUAAAGCGCACGUAGGCGGACUGGAAAGUU